CCUACGGGAGGCUGCAGUCGAGAAUCUUCGGCAAUGGGCGCAAGCCUGACCGAGCGACGCCGCGUGGAGGACGACGGCCUUCGGGUUGUAAACUCCUGUCGAGGGGGACCAAGGCCCCGUGAAGAACGGGGCUCGAGGUAUCCCUGGAGGAAGCACGGGCUAAGUUCGUGCCAGCAGCCGCGGUAAGACGAACCGUGCGAACGUUAUUCGGAAUCACUGGGCUUAAAGCGCGUGUAGGCGGGCCGGCACGUCGACGGCUGAAAGCCCCCGGCUCAACCGGGGAAUGGGCCUCGAUACGACCGGCCUGGAGGGGCGUAGGGGGACCGGGAACUUCCGGUGGAGCGGUGAAAUGCGUUGAGAUCGGAAGGAACGCCCGCGGCGAAAGCGCGGUCCUGGACGCCUACUGACGCUGAGACGCGAAAGCCAGGGGAGCGAACGGGAUUAGAUACCCCUGUAGUC
RNAcentral lists this ribosomal RNA (459 nucleotides) under uncultured Singulisphaera sp. RNAcentral describes it as "bacterial SSU rRNA". It matches the Rfam family "Bacterial small subunit ribosomal RNA", at positions 338 to 795 of the family's 1533-position model. Lineage: Bacteria; Pseudomonadati; Planctomycetota; Planctomycetia; Isosphaerales; Isosphaeraceae. The record is from RNAcentral.